GUGAAUCAUCGAAUUUUUGAACGCAAAUUGCACUCUCCUCAGAGAGUAUGCCUGUUUGAGGGUCAGCCUAUAAAAAAUCGACAUCGUUGCUGUCUCGCGGCGGCGUUCGUCGGAAAAGGGGUCAUGUUUAAUCUUUAGGUUUUAAGGGACUUAAAAUUUUCUUUUUGGUUCCAUUAACGUUUCUAAGAUUUAUUUCUUUACACGUUUAAGGUAUCGAUUUUUAUUAGAGGUGACAGCAUAUCGGAUCUGUC
Molecule: unclassified non-coding RNA, 251 nt
Filed under: Glomus sp.
Lineage: Eukaryota; Fungi; Glomeromycota; Glomeromycetes; Glomerales; Glomeraceae
Description: partial contains 5.8S ribosomal RNA and internal transcribed spacer 2
Rfam family: 5.8S ribosomal RNA (bases 1-65)
Source: RNAcentral